UAAGCCAGACGUGAUCGGACUGAGCGAUCUCCUGUAUUUGUCAAGUGUUCUUGUUUGUUGCUGGGGCUGCUCUGGCCUGUACAAUGGUGGCACCACAACAGCCGUUUUGGUGGUGGUCUAGGCAGGUGCUAGACUGUUUGUUAGCCAUUUGAUGUGAUGGCCCUGCGUGCCUACCUGGUUGUUGUGCUUGACCCGUGGUGUUAUUGACCUGUAGUCUCUUAGUUGCCGGUCAUGUACAAUAGCUGUUUGGUUAUAUGACUCUGUUCCUUUCUUAGGUAGCUAGCCCUGACUGUAAUUUGCAGCAUGCAUACUUAUCCGUGUUCUGUUCCUUGCAUUUAUCUGUGUAAAACAGUUGUAUUCUUGUGGAUUUCUUGCUUGCUGUCUGCAUUUCAUGGCUUUCUCACCAUUUGACAAUGCAAUGCGUCUUUGGUUGAUGUGUUGUGAAUUAUGAGCUACUCCCUUUGUUUCAAAGUUGAG
Molecule: long non-coding RNA, 477 nt
Filed under: Triticum aestivum (bread wheat)
Lineage: Eukaryota; Viridiplantae; Streptophyta; Magnoliopsida; Poales; Poaceae
Description: long non-coding RNA (TAES_LNC026282)
Source: RNAcentral